CUAAAAAGAAAAAAAAAAAGAAAAAAAACAAAAGAAAAAAAACCCAAAGGAUUUUUCUUAAACAGAGGAUUACCACGGGUCUCUGAACCCUGGCAGUGGUAAUGAGAAGGUACUGAUCUUCCUUUCUUAUUUUGCCUGGAAUAUUUUUGACUCACCAUCAGACAAACAUUUACCAGCAAGGAAAGUAAUUGUGUUUCAUCUAGGGCUCCAGUGAGACCUGCAUAAAAAGUCACAGGAAACAUUUCCAUUCCAACUAGGUAACAGGCUAUUGAAAUUCACUGGAAACAGAUUACCGUGAAUGUGUUUUCUCACAGUGGCACAGUUUUCUCUAAGGAAUCAGGAGACAUGAUUAUCUUUCCCUUUUCCUUUACAGGUUUAGGUUUGAAGAAUUUCAGUUUAUUCAGCUCUCAAAAAACCAAUUUUCUUUGUACUAUGUUACUGUACUUAAAAUUUAGGACCAUCCAGAAAAGACUCCAAUUAAUUUGGAAUAUUUGGGAGAAAACUGAGUGUUCUCCUUUCCUGAAAGCAAUGAGUCUGUAAUCCCUUUCCUUCAAGUGUUCACCGUUUACUUCUUUCCCUGUCUUCCUGGCUUCAGAGGUGGGAGGUGUGGUCACAUUUCCAAUUUGCAGUUUGUCCACAUUUGUUUUCUCUAGAUAAUUCUCAGGAUGAUUAUGAGGAUUUAGUUGUGCGGAGGUGCACACCUACGUGUAAUUUGAACAACUUAACCCUGUGCAUUUCUAGCUGAGCGUGGAACGAAGAAGUUCAGGACCGGAGCUUUAGAGUUGGAGCCCCUUGCUGGCCCUGCUCGGUCCCUGAAGAGGCAAUUGCACAACUUGCUGCACACGUCCUGUAGCCCUACCUUUGUGCAGCCGAUCUCUCCUCGGUAAAAUGUUCUCAGCGCACAAAAGCAGCGGCUGAAGGGAACCGCUUCGGGCAGAGACGGAGGAGGCAGCUGGCAGGCUGCAGCACCGCUGCGCCAUCUCCCGUGGAAACGGACGCUGCUAACCCUGCCUAGGAAACUAAUGGAGCGUCCCUAAGAAACCCAAACUCCAGCUUGGCUCACCCCAGCCUUCUCCCCAACCUCCAGACCCCCAGGGUUUGCAGAGUCGUUGGUUAAGAUGACGUCCUACUGGAGCAGAGUGGAUCCUUAAUCCAUCGUGACUGGUGUCCUUAUGAAAAGGGGAAAUCUGGGCACAGAGACAUGCACCCAGGGAGAACACUACGUGAAGACUGUUAUGCUUCCACAACCCAGAGGACUACCACAAGCUAGAAGGAAGGCCUGAUUCAGAUCCUUCCCAACUGCCUUCAGAGCGUGGUCCUGCUGACACCUUGAUUUUGUACUUCUAGCCUCCAGAACCAUGAGACAAUAAAGUUCUAUUGUUUCAGCCACUCAGUUUGUGCUAUUUGUAUGGCACUCCUAGAAAACUAAUGCAGUAAGCAAAGGAUUGCCAAAUCUGUAUUUAAGAAGGCAUAUUUCACAAAGAUGGUCCAUUUUAUAAAUAGGUGACUGGUCAGAGAAAAGAAAGCAUGCAUUC
Long non-coding RNA from Camelus dromedarius (Arabian camel), 1535 nucleotides. RefSeq lists it as uncharacterized. Lineage: Eukaryota; Metazoa; Chordata; Mammalia; Artiodactyla; Camelidae. The transcript is spliced from 3 exons. The record is from RefSeq and is a predicted model, not a curated record.